RNAcentral lists this long non-coding RNA (5021 nucleotides) under Sus scrofa (pig). RNAcentral describes it as "lncRNA (ENSSSCG00055017701.1)". The record is from RNAcentral. Lineage: Eukaryota; Metazoa; Chordata; Mammalia; Artiodactyla; Suidae.
ACCUCACACUGAUCCGAAUGGCCAUCAUUAAAAACGUCUACACAUAAUAAAUGCUGGAGGGGGCAUGGAAAAAAGGGAACCCUCCCACACUGCAGGUAGGAAUGUAAACUGGUGUAGCCACAAUGGGGAACAGCAUGGAGGUUCCUCAAAAAAUUACAAGUAGAGUUGCCAUAGGAUCCAACAAUCCCACUUCUGGGCAUAUAACCAGAAGAAACUCUAUUUUAAAAAGAUGCAUGCAUCCCAGUGUUCAUAGCAGCACUAUUUACAAUAGCCAAGAAAUGGAAGCAACCUACAUUCCAUUGAGAGGUGAAUAGGUAAAGAAGAUGUGGUACACACACACACACACACACACAUACAAUGGAAUGCUACUCAGCCAUAAAAAUGAAAUUAUGCCAUUUGUAGCAAUAUGGAUGAACCUAGAGAUUAUCAUAGUGAAUAAAAUCAAUCAGAAAGAGAAAGACUAAUACCACAUGAUAUAUAGAGAAUCAAAAAUAUGACACCCAUGGUCUGAUCUACGAAACAGAAACAGACUCACAGACAUAGAGAAAGGACUUGUGGUUUGCCAAGGGGGAGGUGGGAUGGGGGGAUAGCGUGGGAGUUUGGGAUUAGCAGAUACAAACUAUUAUAUAUAGAAUGAAUAACAAGGUCCCACUGUAUAGCACAGGGAACUCUAUUCAGUACCCUGUAGUAAACCAUGAUGGAAAAAGAACAUGAAGAAGAAUCAAUAUCCGUACAGGCAGAACUGAACCACUUUGCUGUUCAGCAUAAAUCAACACAACAUUGUCAAUCAAGGAUGCUUCAAUAAAAACACAUUUUUAAAAACAGUAUCUUUGGGGGAAAGCUGGGGUGACUUUAGGGCUCACCUCCCUUGUUCCCUUUCUGGCCUGAAUCCCUGUCCUGCAUUUUCUGUUUUCCACUGUCUUAUAAUAGUGGUUUCCUAGUUUAUCCAGCUCCCUACUUGUUCUCGGUGGGAGAGCAAAUCUAGUCCUCAUUACACUUCAGCUUGACUACAAGCAGAAGAAUCUACAGCCAAUUUUCAACAUCACAUUUAUUUGCACGGUUGUUCUGUGCCAGGAACGACGUUAAUCAUUUUUUCAUUGAUUACAUCACUUCAAAAUCCUUUCAGGGGCAUAUAAAGAGAAUAAAAUGAGAUUUAAAGAAGUUAAGAAUUUAUUGAGUAAUAAACGGCCAGCAGUAAAUGGCAGAGCCAGAAUUCAAAUUCAGGCAGUUGGACUCUGCAGCUGAAGUGCUCAAUCACUUUGCCAUUGAAAAAUUUGUAGGUGACACACAGAUGAACAGUUUUUAUUUUAAAUAGCAAAUAUAAUUUAAUGUAUAAUAGAAAAACUAUAUCACAUAAAAGCUAUGAUUUUAUAGAUAUUUUUCCUUGGGACAGGAGUGGACUGUUUUCCAUCAAAAGAGCCCAUUUCUAUAUAUAUAUCUGUAAUCAGACAGGGGAAGAACCUGCUAGUGAGGUGACAACAUCGGAAGUUCUGGGACACAGACAACACAAUUUGUCCCUUCUGGUUUGGUGAAUGUGGUUCCAGGCUGACCCCUGUAACCAUGUGUAUCUAGAUAUGAAUGAAAGUAACUAAUUUUACAUAAAAGGAACCAUGUAUCACAAGUUGCUUUUUUCAUACUAUUAUAUGUGCCAGACUUUGCCCUAACCCAUAAAUAUAAGGAGUUUAAGGCCCGCUCCUCAGGCUUUUCUGUUGGGGUGAUGCUCUUUUUACCUGCAAGAUGUUUCAGGGGAGAGCUACCUCUUCAUGGCUGCUGUGUAAGCCCAGGGUUCUGGGGUUUCUGGGCCAAGCCCUCAGUUUUCAGAGCCUGCACAGAGCCCUGGAGAAAAUGCAUCUACUUCACCGUGCAAGCUGGAGCUUACUCAAACUGCAGCUUGCCAAGCGUUUGGUCCAGCAGAACUCCUAUCCCUGGGCCCAUCCCCUGGGGGCUGCUGCCAGUUCACAAAAGACACUGGCCUUCCUGGCCUCACUCAGCUCUCACUGGAUGCCCACACGCGUGACCAGCAGGGCAUGAUUGGGCCCAGCACUGGAGACUGACUUAUCUGGGGGAAGCCAGGACUCCAUGCUAAGGAAGUUUUUUCAAGCCGUCACAACCCCAGGGACAGGGACUUGGGGCACCACACUCGUUUGAGGUCAGUGUGGCCAAGUGACCCUGGCACCUGUGAUUUCAGCCCCUGCUCUGUAGGGAGAACGUGUUCUCUGCCCAGACUACAGUCCAGAUGGAGAGGCACCACUGUAAUGGGCCCUUCUGACCAUCUUGUAAGAGGUUUGAAAUUCAGAUUUCCAGGGACACGUGGUACCUGCACUGCUGAUUAGAGCUGGAGUUUCAAGCAGAGAUUCAAGAAGGUAGGGGUGGUGGCUCUGUACAGGGACAAAAGGGCCCAGCUGCAGCCAGGUCACACAUGCACCUCCAGAAAUGUGCCUGAGAGACAAAUGCCCAAGCAGAGUCAGCUAAGGGAACAGAGUGGGGACAUGGCCAGAGUGCAGAGGCUUGCAUGGGGACCCCACGCCCACUGAGAUGUCAACUCAAAACCUGGAGCUCACCUACUGCUUGGAUUCUGUUUCAAUCGCCAGCUUUAUGUUGUGUUGGAAAAAACAACUCCAGCACAUUUGUGUCACUGGUGGUCAGAAUGGCCCUUUGCAUUUUCCUUCUCCUGCCAGGAGUGACACUUUUGUCACCCGGAAGCUGCUCUCAGGAUACCUGUGGCUGCUGUGUCACAAAGAACUAAUGCUAAUGCCUUUGGCCCUAAGUCCCUCACUCGGGGUGGCGGGGUUGGGGGCGGGGUGUCUCCAUCCAGGGGCAGAACCUUCCUCCUACCGUUUGGGGAGGUUCUCCACUCUGCCCCAUGCUCCCUGUGUCUCUCUUCCUCCUCUCCCACUGGGAUUUUCUUAUUUUCUACUGUUUUUUUUUUUGGGGAAAAGCUCCAGUAAAGAACCUAUUCUAAACCACCUCCGGGCAGGAGCAUGCCACAGCUCCUACGGCUUUUUAAGGUUGUACGAAUCAACAGGUACCUUUUAUUUCUUUCUCAAAGGCCUGAUGAUGUGUUAAAUUUCCCCUUUUCAGUUGGGCCCCCAGAUGAGCUGCUCACCCAGCUCCUCUUCCAGUUCGGAUAAGAAGGGUGCCAUGUCGGAAGGACAAAUUUACACCUCAAAGUACUGUCUGAUUUUCAACACUGGAAAGCAAAGCUGUACUUUUACACCCACCAAGCACAGCAACAGACAGGUGCCACUAAGGCUUUUAUAUCUGAUGCACGUCUUCCUUCUUCUCUGACCGUGGCUCUCCCCACACUCUGGUCAUGCCAUCUCUUAUGUCUCAGGCAGUGCCAUGUGGUCACUCUUGGGGGGCCUCCAAGUCACCUCUGAGCUGUGCCUUUUUGGGGGUCUGCUUCUGACCCCAUUCCCUCUCCACGGUCAUUCAGACCCUUAAAACUCUCAUCUCAGACAACUGCAGCCCCUUUCAGCUGAUCCCGACCUUCAGAUGCUCCCCGGCCAACCCAACCUGCUCCCAGACCUCUGUCUAAAAUUCUCAUGUUAUUUGAUCACCCCUUUGCUCCCUCUGGCUUAGGAAACCCAAUCCAGAUCCUGAGUGGAAAGCCACAUAAUGUCUUUUCUCUCAAAGGAAAUCUUGGUGACUCCAUUUUGCUCCUAUUCGCCUUCCUGCGACACCACCCCCUCCUCAUUCCCUCUUCUCCCAGUAACCAUUUGUUUCAAAUGAGCCAACCAGGAAGAAUGUGCGCCCUGACCUGACCAAUGGGAAGGGGACAGGUCCAUCACCUGCCUUAGGGAUAAAUGGGGGAGGGGGGUCCUUUGUUCGGUGCCCACGCUUUUUGGAGCACCCGCGUCCUUCUGCAGAAGUAAAGAGCCUUGUUGAGAUCUCCCCGUGUUCAUGUGUCUCAUUUUUUUUCCGACACUGACGAUCUCAGCCAUGUCCCCAACAUGAAGCCUGGUGCUCCAGGCCCUUCACCGUCUAGCUUCCUCCUACCACUAGGCAAGGGCCGCCUUGGGCCCCCUUCAACUUGCUCCUCGCGCCCCCCACAUCACCCCUAGGCUUCUCUCACAGGCAGCCCUACUCCCACCCCAGCAAGCCAGCAGCCUCCCUCCAAGAAAGCCCCCUGGUGGCCAUGUGUCUGCCGGUGACCUUCCCCUGUGCGUGUCUGUGUCCGCAUCUCUUCCUAAUGACCUCAUUUUGCCUUAAUUAUUUCCUUACAGGCCUUAUCUCCCAACUACAUUGUGAGUUACUAGGCUUAGGCUCUAACGCGAAUUUUUUUGCGGGGGUUGGGGCACAAUUCGGCUCAUCCCAGGUCCUCAGGCCUCUUCCAUCCCCCGUCCUCAGACUGUGUUACGGAGGGAAUGGCUGUGCUCUCCCAGGGGCACGACCAGACCUCCUGCCUCCCUGAGGGGCCCAGAGCUGCCCCACGCUUUCUGUGCCCCGGACCCCACUGGGAGUUUGCCUCCAGUCCUCUCUGAGUCUCAGAUUCCUCGGCUGUGAAGUCAGGACAAUAAGAAUGUAAGUUUGUGACAAGAAUUAAUUUAGACAAGAGUCAUUAAGGAUAAGAAUCGUGCCUGGAAUAUAGUAACCUCCCGACCAAGUGACGGAAUCACUAUUGUCACCUCUCCUGUGAGUCCCCAGGCUCCCUGUCCACACCUCCUGGUGUACCCCGAGAUGCUCAGCUUUCAAGACCUAGACAGGGGCAUGAAGAGUGGCUUAUCCAGCAGGGAGCCAGUGUUCCAGGGAUGUGGGACAGGAGCCUCUAGAGUGAUGGACAGACAGACAGGAAUAUUAUAUAUAUUCAUAUUAACCCUUGUACUCAUAUAUCCCACUAACCCUUAUUUUAAAAUACUGGUCAUGGAGUUCCCGUCGUGGCGCAGUGGUUAACGAAUCCGACUAAGAGCCAUGAGGUUGCGGGUUCGGUCCCUGCCCUUGCUCAUGGGUUAAGGAUCUGGCAUUGCAAUGAGCUGCGGUGCAGGUCACAGACACGGCUCAGAUCUGGCAUUGCUGUGGCU